Gossypium arboreum is the source of this 444-nucleotide long non-coding RNA. RefSeq lists it as uncharacterized. The record is from RefSeq and is a predicted model, not a curated record. Lineage: Eukaryota; Viridiplantae; Streptophyta; Magnoliopsida; Malvales; Malvaceae. The transcript is spliced from 3 exons.
AUGGUGAUAAAAACAAAGUAACUUUUCUCUUUGUUUUCUCUUAUUGCCGUAACUAAGCAAGAAAGAAAGGAAAGAACACCAAAGGCACUCGGUCACUUGGUGUUGGGAAUUAAGAUUAAGCUCAAGAGCUUAAGAAGCCUAAUUCGGAUAGGGGAAAAGCUAAACUAACCAAAUAGCCGAUCCGUAGUCGUUCGACGACAUUCGAGAUUGUGGACUCUGAUUACCAGCUCGGGGAUCGUCAGUACUUCAUCACACUAUCUACUAUUAUGGAAACCUUGUGAUUUGGAUUUAGCUUAUGGCAUGUAUAGGAUAGAUUAUACUAGAAUGAUAUCAUAACUAUUGUUUAUAAGCCAUGCGAAUAUGGCAUCCUUUGGAAGUCUACUUUUAUAAGUUAUAAGUUUGAUCUUUGUUUGUGUUUAGAAAUUUAAUUAAAUGAAUAAUCUU